GGUGAUUUAGCUCAGCGGUAGAGCGCUUGCCUAGGAAGCGCAAGGCCCUGGGUUCGAUCCCCAGCUCCG
This 69-nucleotide transfer RNA is filed under the name Rattus norvegicus (Norway rat). It matches the Rfam family "tRNA". From Rfam's summary of the family: Transfer RNA (tRNA) molecules are approximately 80 nucleotides in length. Their secondary structure includes four short double-helical elements and three loops (D, anti-codon, and T loops). Lineage: Eukaryota; Metazoa; Chordata; Mammalia; Rodentia; Muridae. The record is from Rfam by way of RNAcentral.